UAGGGAAUCUUCGGCAAUGGACGAAAGUCUGACCGAGCAACGCCGCGUGAGUGAAGAAGGUUUUCGGAUCGUAAAACUCUGUUGUUAGAGAAGAACAAGGACGUUAGUAACUGAACGUCCCCUGACGGUAUCUAACCAGAAAGCCACGGCUAACUACGUGCCAGCAGCCGCGGUAAUACGUAGGUGGCAAGCGUUGUCCGGAUUUAUUGGGCGUAAAGCGAGCGCAGGCGGUUUCUUAAGUCUGAUGUGAAAGCCCCCGGCUCAACCGGGGAGGGUCAUUGGAAACUGGGAGACUUGAGUGCAGAAGAGGAGAGUGGAAUUCCAUGUGUAGCGUUGAAAUGCGUAGAUAUAUGGAGGAACACCAGUGGCGAAGGCGGCUCUCUGGUCUGUAACUGACGCUGAGGCUCGAAAGCGUGGGGAGCAAACAGG
RNAcentral lists this ribosomal RNA (429 nucleotides) under Gemmatimonadota bacterium. Its description in RNAcentral is "Gemmatimonadetes bacterium partial 16S ribosomal RNA". It matches the Rfam family "Bacterial small subunit ribosomal RNA", at positions 355 to 776 of the family's 1533-position model. The record is from RNAcentral. Lineage: Bacteria; Pseudomonadati; Gemmatimonadota.